This is a non-coding RNA of Gymnopus androsaceus JB14, 105 nucleotides long. NCBI's taxonomy places the organism in Eukaryota, Fungi, Basidiomycota, Agaricomycetes, Agaricales, Omphalotaceae. The record is from the annotation of a GenBank genome assembly.
GGUUCAGUAGUGUAGAGGUUAUCACCCGGGAUUCUGAUAUUGCAGAUUUCGAGAAUCCUCCUUUCGGAACUUCCCGUAACCCAGGUUCGAGUCCUGGUUGGACCU